Long non-coding RNA from Eucalyptus grandis, 597 nucleotides. RefSeq lists it as uncharacterized. The record is from RefSeq and is a predicted model, not a curated record. NCBI's taxonomy places the organism in Eukaryota, Viridiplantae, Streptophyta, Magnoliopsida, Myrtales, Myrtaceae. The transcript has 2 exons.
UCACCUCCUCCUCCCUACCUUUACACCUCGCCUCCACCACCCAUGAAAUCACCUCCUCCCCCGGCCUACGUCUACUCAUCACCUCCGCCACCAACAUACUACUAAGCUCAAUAAGCCUAGUCAUGAGCCAGUCUCAAUUAAGUUCUAGUUUCAAGAGUGUAAUAAGGAGAGUGAUAAGGGUGCAAGAAUCAAUCAUCAAUUUCAUCAAGUUUCAUCGAAUAAGGGUCUCAAAGAUCCAUCGGCCAAGAGCCAACGAGGGGAAAUGGGUCGCCAGAUUGCUUCUGCCUCUUUGAUUGUCGUCUUCCAACUUCUGCUCACAUUACUUUCAGAUGGGACAGGCUCAAAAUGCUUAUCUCAACAAAGAAAAUGGUCGGAGCAUGCCUUGAUAAAAUAAGGGUGCAGGAUUUGCCCAUCUAGCUUUGCUUGUAUUUUUCCUUUCCGUUACUAAUACUCGUCGCCUUCUUAGGAUGUAAUCUCAUUUAUUUUGCCAUGUCCUUGUACUACUUCAUGUUGAUUUGGACUCCUCCCUUCAUUUGUUUGUUGGAUCCUCUUGUUAUUGAAUAAAAUUCCAUCUAACAAUAAGCAUAAAUUGAUUAA